RNAcentral lists this ribosomal RNA (378 nucleotides) under Salmonella enterica subsp. enterica serovar Infantis. Its description in RNAcentral is "partial 23S ribosomal RNA". It matches the Rfam family "Bacterial large subunit ribosomal RNA", at positions 2565 to 2925 of the family's 2925-position model. Lineage: Bacteria; Pseudomonadati; Pseudomonadota; Gammaproteobacteria; Enterobacterales; Enterobacteriaceae. RNAcentral also lists the same sequence under 3 other names. The record is from RNAcentral.
CCAAGGGUAUGGCUGUUCGCCAUUUAAAGUGGUACGCGAGCUGGGUUUAGAACGUCGUGAGACAGUUCGGUCCCUAUCUGCCGUGGGCGCUGGAGAACUGAGGGGGGCUGCUCCUAGUACGAGAGGACCGGAGUGGACGCAUCACUGGUGUUCGGGUUGUCAUGCCAAUGGCACUGCCCGGUAGCUAAAUGCGGAAGAGAUAAGUGCUGAAAGCAUCUAAGCACGAAACUUGCCCCGAGAUGAGUUCUCCCUGAGACUUAGAGUCUCCUGAAGGAACGUUGAAGACGACGACGUUGAUAGGCCGGGUGUGUAAGCGCAGCGAUGCGUUGAGCUAACCGGUACUAAUGAACCGUGAGGCUUAACCUUACAACGCCGAAG